GACCCUGCAGUGUAAUGGUUAGCACUCUGGACUUUGGAUUCAGUGGUCUGAGUUCAAACCUCAGUGGAUCC
RNAcentral lists this transfer RNA (71 nucleotides) under Mus musculus (house mouse). RNAcentral describes it as "tRNA-Gln". The stretch from base 9 to 64 matches the Rfam family "tRNA", at positions 9 to 63 of the family's 71-position model. From Rfam's summary of the family: Transfer RNA (tRNA) molecules are approximately 80 nucleotides in length. The record is from RNAcentral. Lineage: Eukaryota; Metazoa; Chordata; Mammalia; Rodentia; Muridae.